RNAcentral lists this ribosomal RNA (253 nucleotides) under uncultured bacterium. RNAcentral's name for it is "partial 16S ribosomal RNA". It matches the Rfam family "Bacterial small subunit ribosomal RNA", at positions 524 to 776 of the family's 1533-position model. The record is from RNAcentral.
UACGUAGGGGGCAAGCGUUGUCCGGAUUUAUUGGGCGUAAAGAGCGUGUAGGCGGUUUGGUAGGUCCGUUGUGAAAACUCGAGGCUCAACCUCGAGACGCCGAUGGAAACCAUCAGACUAGAGUCCGGAAGAGGCGAGUGGAAUUCCCGGUGUAGCGGUGAAAUGCGCAGAUAUCGGGAGGAACACCAAUUGCGAAGGCAGCUCGCUGGGACGUCACUGACGCUGAGACGCGAAAGCGUGGGGAGCAAACAGG